This 468-nucleotide ribosomal RNA is filed under the name uncultured bacterium. RNAcentral's name for it is "partial 16S ribosomal RNA". It matches the Rfam family "Bacterial small subunit ribosomal RNA", at positions 28 to 507 of the family's 1533-position model. The record is from RNAcentral.
GACGAACGCUGGCGGCGUGCCUAACACAUGCAAGUCGAACGGAAAGGCCCUGCUUUUGUGGGGUGUUCGAGUGGCGAACGGGUGAGUUACACGUGAGUAACCUGCCCUUGACUUUGGGAUAUCCUCAGGCAACUGGGGCUAAUACCGGAUAGGAGCUCCUGCUGCAUGGUGGGGGUUGGAAAGUUUCGGCGGUUGGGGCUGGACUCGCAGCUUAUCAGCUUGUUGGUGGGGUAGUGGCUUACCAUGGCUUUGACGGGUAGCCGGCCUGGGAGGGUAGCCGGCCACAAUACGACUGAGAUACGGCGCAGACUCGAACGGGAGGCAACGGUGGGGAGUAUUACACAGUGGGCGGGAGCCUGAUGCGACAACGCCGCGUGCGGGAAGACGGCCUUGGGGUUGUGAACCGCUGUCGCCUGUGACGAAGCGUGAGUGACGGUAAUGGGUGAAGAAGCACCGGCUAACUACGUG